UGAACGCUAGCGGCAGGCCUAACACAUGCAAGUCGAGGGGUAACAGAGAGAAGCUUGCUUUUCUGCUGACGACCGGCGCACGGGUGCGUAACGCGUAUACAAUCUGCCUUAUACAGAGGGAUAGCCUUUAGAAAUGAAGAUUAAUACCUUAUGGUCUAUUUUUAUAGCAUUAUAUAAAUAGUAAAGCUUCGGUGGUAUAAGAUGAGUAUGCGUCCUAUUAGUUAGUUGGUAAGGUAACGGCUUACCAAGACAACGAUAGGUAGGGGCCCUGAGAGGGGGAUCCCCCACACUGGUACUGAGACACGGACCAGACUCCUACGGGAGGCAGCAGUGAGGAAUAUUGGACAAUGGAGGCAACUCUGAUCCAGCCAUGCCGCGUGCAGGAUGACGGCCCUAUGGGUUGUAAACUGCUUUUAUAUAGGAAGAAACCUUUUCACGUGUGAGAAGCUGACGGUACUAUAAGAAUAAGGACCGGCUAA
This 479-nucleotide ribosomal RNA is filed under the name uncultured bacterium. Its description in RNAcentral is "bacterial SSU rRNA". It matches the Rfam family "Bacterial small subunit ribosomal RNA", at positions 30 to 500 of the family's 1533-position model. The record is from RNAcentral.